RNAcentral lists this unclassified non-coding RNA (228 nucleotides) under Hevea brasiliensis (rubber tree). The record is from RNAcentral. Lineage: Eukaryota; Viridiplantae; Streptophyta; Magnoliopsida; Malpighiales; Euphorbiaceae.
GUAAGUCUAGCACUCACUACUUAUGUUUACGUCUUUUCAUUUAUCCUGUGACUAGUUUCUUAUGCUUGUUUGGUCUUUAUGACAUAAAUAUUUUAUAUGAAAAGUGUUGUACUUUAGAGAAGGCAAAGAAAAAAUGUCUCAAUAUUUGUGCGUGAAAUUUAGUAUAUCUUCUUUAUUUUAUAGAUAGGUUCAGUCUAUAUCUUCUUUAUUUUAUAGAUAGGUUCAGUC